AUAGGGGACCUCGAGUGCCAGGUUACAAAUCUGGCUGUCGUGAUGCCUAAAAAGCAUUGCAUAGCAAGGGCCGGGCAAGACCGGUGCCAGCCGCCGCGGUAACACCGGCGGCUCGAGUGGUAACCGUUAUUGUUGGGUCUAAAGGGUCUGUAGCCGGCCGGGUAAGUCUCUUGGGAAAUCUGGCAGCUUAACUGUCAGGCUUUCAGGAGAUACUGUCUGGCUCGAGGCCGGGAGAGGUGAGAGGUACUUCAGGGGUAGGGGUGAAAUCUUGUAAUCCUUGAAGGACCACCAGUGGCGAAGGCGUCUCACCAGAACGGACCUGACGGCAAGGGACGAAAGCUAGGGGCACGAGCCGGAUUAGAUACCCGGGUAGUCCUAGCCGUAAACGAUACUCGCUAGGUGUCGGCAACGGUGCGACCGUUGUCGGUGCCGUAGGGAAGCCGUGAAGCGAGCCACCUGGGAAGUACGGCCGCAAGGCUGAAACUUAAAGGAAUUGGCGGGGGAGCACCACAACGGGUGGAGCUUGCGGUUUAAUUGGAUUCAACGCCGGAAACCUUACCGGGACCGACAGCAAUAUGAAGGCCAGGCUGAAGACUUUGCCGGAUUAGCUGAGAGGUGGUGCAUGGCCGUCGUCAGUUCGUACUGUGAAGCAUCCUGUUAAGUCAGGCAACGAGCGAGACCCACGCCCACAGUUGCCAGCGUACUCUCCGGAGUGACGGGUACACUGUGGGGACCGCCGCUGCUAAAGCGGA
This 752-nucleotide ribosomal RNA is filed under the name uncultured archaeon. Its description in RNAcentral is "bacterial SSU rRNA". It matches the Rfam family "Archaeal small subunit ribosomal RNA", at positions 371 to 1123 of the family's 1478-position model. The record is from RNAcentral.